Molecule: long non-coding RNA, 338 nt
Organism: Mauremys mutica (yellowpond turtle)
Lineage: Eukaryota; Metazoa; Chordata; Testudines; Geoemydidae
Exons: 3
Source: RefSeq, a predicted model, not a curated record
GUGACUCACAAGCAGUGCCAAUAAAGGUGGACUCGGAGUUCACGGUCUUGCAGCUUGCAGCAGUGCUUUUCUGAAGCCAACAUCGUCCCAGGCUUUCUGGACCCAGGUUGCAGCGGGUGGAACGCACCAGAUCAAGGCUCCUCUGUACUUGUUCCCAAGACCUACCCUGGAUGAGCCAGUCGUUGAGAUACUGGAAGACCUGGACCCCUCGACAUCUCAGGAACCUCCUCCACCUGUGACCAGGCCGAACAGUAAGGACGAAGACGUUUGAGGAAAGAGCAGGGUGAAUCCUGGGAGGGGACAUUGCUCUCAACUGCACCCUCAAAACCAGUGCUUCU